RNAcentral lists this unclassified non-coding RNA (456 nucleotides) under Hevea brasiliensis (rubber tree). Lineage: Eukaryota; Viridiplantae; Streptophyta; Magnoliopsida; Malpighiales; Euphorbiaceae. The record is from RNAcentral.
GGAUUACCCAAUUGGAUGAGAAAAUAAAAAGGAAAAUCCCUCUCUUCAUGGAGUAGAUGCAGGGGCAACUUUUUAAUUUCCUACUCAUUGCUUUUCACGCGUGAACUCAAACCCACAGCACUGCCUCAUUGUCUCAAUCCAUCCGCGUCUGCCUAUAAGAAAAUAGCAUCUCUAACCGUGACGGGUGCUGUUAGGUGACAUCUUGCAGGGUGAUUGUAACCGAGUCUGUUACUGUGAGUCACUAAUUACAAGCGUUGCAAAAUCCAAGGAUGUUACCAUUCGACAGGCGAAGAAACGAUGGAAUUGAAUGAUAAGAUUUUUUUUGGCUCGUAAUUUAAUUAAAAUUGUUUUUAUAUAAGUGAUAUAAAUGAUUGUAAGAGUAUGAUACAGCAUUUCUCAUAUUUUUAUUGAGCUUAGCAGUUUCGGACUUUAUCCUUUAUCUCAGUAGCAUCCCUG